RNAcentral lists this unclassified non-coding RNA (155 nucleotides) under Cladosporium sphaerospermum. Its description in RNAcentral is "ITS1". Lineage: Eukaryota; Fungi; Ascomycota; Dothideomycetes; Cladosporiales; Cladosporiaceae. The record is from RNAcentral.
GAGUUGACCCCGGCCCUCGGGCCGGGAUGUUCACAACCCUUUGUUGUCCGACUCUGUUGCCUCCGGGGCGACCCUGCCUCCGGGCGGGGGCCCCGGGUGGACAUUUCAAACUCUUGCGUAACUUUGCAGUCUGAGUAAAUUUAAUUAAUAAAUUA